GUUGACGUUGAGACUAGUGUUUUGCAGGUACUAUUUAAUGAAGCUGCCAGUUGGCCAGUCAAAUGGCGCCGGAGAAGAGGGCAGACAUUUUACGUACCCCCAGCCCAUUGUGUUUUUUUGUUAGCUUAUUUGCGUUGUUUGUAACAUUUUUUUUAACUUAUUUUGUACAUAAUGUUGCCGCUACUGUCUCUUAUGACCGAAAAUAACUUCUAGACAUCAGGACUGUGAUUACUCACCUUGGACUAGCAGAAUCCUCUUUUUCCUUUCACGACUCUGAUGAUCCUGAAGCGAAGGAUACGCUGCUUCCUCGGGAACAAAUCAAAUCAAAUCAAAUUUAUUCAUAUAGCCCUUCGUACAUCAGCUGAUAUCUCUAAGUGCUGUACAGAAACCCAGCCUAAAACCCCAAACAGCAAGCAAUGCAUGUGAAAGAAGCACGGUGGCUAGGAAAAACUCCCUAGGAAAAACUCCCUAGAAAGGCCAAAAACCUAGGAAGAAACCUAGAGAGGAACCAGGCUAUGAGGGGUGGCCAGUCCUCUUCUGGCUGUGCAGGGUGGAUAUUAUAACAGAACAUGGUCAAGAUGUUAAAAUGUUCAUAAAUGACCAGCAUGGUCAAAUAAUAAUAAUCAUAGUAGUUGUCGAGGGUGCAACAAGCACGUCCGGUGAACAGGUCAGGGUUCCAUAGCCGCAGGCAGAACAGUUGAAACUGGAGCAGCAGCACGGCCAGGUGGACUGGGGACAGCAAGGAGUCAUCAUGCCAGGUAGUCCUGAGGCAUGGUCCUAGGGCUCAGGUCCUCCGAAAGAAAGAAAGAAAGAAAGAAAGAAAGAAAGAAAGAAAGAAAGAAAGAAAGAAAGAGAGAAUUAGAGAGAGCAUACUUAAAUUCACACAGGACACUGCAUAAGACAGGAGAAAUACUCCAGAUAUAACAGACUGACCCUAGCCCCCCGC
Molecule: long non-coding RNA, 946 nt
Filed under: Salmo salar (Atlantic salmon)
Lineage: Eukaryota; Metazoa; Chordata; Actinopteri; Salmoniformes; Salmonidae
Description: lncRNA (ENSSSAG00000090218.1)
Source: RNAcentral